CCUACGGGGGGCAGCAGUGAGGAAUAUUGGUCAAUGGACGAGAGUCUGAACCAGCCAAGUAGCGUGAAGGAUGACUGCCCUAUGGGUUGUAAACCUCUUUUGUACAGGAAUAAAACGAGGCACGUGUGCCUUUUUGCGAGUACUCUAUGAAUAAGCAUCGGCUAACUCCGUGCCAGCAGCCGCGGUAAUACGGAGGAUCCGAGCGUUAUCCGGAUUUAUUGGGUUUAAAGGGAGCGGAGAGGGGGUGUUAAGUCAGUUGGGAAAGUUGGGGGCUCAACCGCAACACUGCCAGUGAACCUGGCAGUCUUGAGUAGAGUGGAAGGAGGCGGAAUUCGUGGUGGAGCGGGUAAAUGCAUAG
RNAcentral lists this ribosomal RNA (358 nucleotides) under uncultured bacterium. RNAcentral's name for it is "partial 16S ribosomal RNA". It matches the Rfam family "Bacterial small subunit ribosomal RNA", at positions 338 to 693 of the family's 1533-position model. The record is from RNAcentral.